Molecule: long non-coding RNA, 204 nt
Organism: Lolium rigidum
Lineage: Eukaryota; Viridiplantae; Streptophyta; Magnoliopsida; Poales; Poaceae
Exons: 3
Source: RefSeq, a predicted model, not a curated record
UGCUUCUCCGCACAGGUGCCGGUGGUUGCGACUGUCGACAAUUGUGUGUCAUACAACAUGUCCAUCACAUGUUUGAUCAGGCUGCCUCAGUGACGGUUAUGACCGUGGCGCAGAGGUAUAUACAGGUCAUUUCAUCCUCAGUUCUUCAGGUCACUUAUUGCUGCAAUAGCUGGGGAGGUUGGAAAGGAGCGUGAAUUGUAUGGC